Canis lupus familiaris (dog) is the source of this 1145-nucleotide long non-coding RNA. RefSeq lists it as uncharacterized. The transcript is spliced from 3 exons. Lineage: Eukaryota; Metazoa; Chordata; Mammalia; Carnivora; Canidae. The record is from RefSeq and is a predicted model, not a curated record.
CAGAAUUCAGAAGAGAUGGAGUCGACAGGGGCAGAUAUAAAAAUGGAAAAAUGGAAAGAGCAGGUUAAAGCCUGGGGGUUGCUGUAAAAGAGGAAAAGACAUUAUGGGGAGUCCUGCAGUUCUUGUGAAUAUGCAACUUAUUCUGAGGUCUCACUUCUUCUCUCCAUCUUCCAGCUCCAUGGUAACUGAAUCCUGAAGAAAUGAUGGUGGACAUUGAUGAAUUGAAUUUGGAACACAAAGCACACAGGAACAAAAAUAUCUAAGAAAAUACUGAGAAGGAACAAAGUGAGAGGCUUUAUACAAAUGAGAAGUUUAAAUUGUUAAGACAGACUGCUGUUAGUACAAUAGUAGACAAAUGUGCCAUUGAUGUAAGAAACAGUCUCCAGAAACAAACCCAGUCAUAUACAAACUUUUAACUUAUGGAUAAGUUGUCAGUGACAAGAAAAACAGUAGAAAAGAAGUCUUAAUGGUGAAUGGUGUUGGUUUGUCAGAUAAUCCACAGGGGAAAAAAAAGUAAUACCUUACACCAUUCACCAAAAGGAAGUGUAGAUGGACCUUAAAUCUGUUAUGAGUUGAAUUGUAUCCUCUCAAAAUUGUUAAAGUCCUAACUCCUAGUACCUUAGAAGAAUUUGACCUUGUUUCAAAAUAGAGAUAUUGCAGAUGUAAUUAGUUCAGAUGAGGUCAUACCGGAGUAAGGUGGCCCCUAAUCCAAUACCACUGUUGUCCUUAUAAAAAGAUGAUACUUAGAUAUGAAUCUGCACACAGGAAAAACACCAUGUAAAGAUGAAGACAAAUGUGAGUGAAAUGCUUCUACAUGCUGAGGAAUGUCAAAGAUUGCCAGGAAACCAUCAGAAGCUAUAGAAAAAGGCCUGGAAUGGAUUUUUCCUAACAGACUUAAGAAGGAACUAACCUUGCAGACAUCUUGAUCUCUGACUUUUAGCCUCCAGAAAUGGAAGACAAUAAAUUUCUGUGUUUAAGCCAUCCAGUUUAUGAUACUUUGUUAUGGCAGCCCCAACAAACUAAUAUAAAAUCCAAACAUAAAACAUAAACUAAUAAAGUGUCUGAAAGUACACAGAAGAAAAUUAUGGCUUCUACUUUGGAGAAAGAAUUCUUAAAAAGGACACAGAUAGGGAUGCCUGAGUGGC